RNAcentral lists this ribosomal RNA (496 nucleotides) under uncultured bacterium. RNAcentral's name for it is "partial 16S ribosomal RNA". It matches the Rfam family "Bacterial small subunit ribosomal RNA", at positions 28 to 506 of the family's 1533-position model. The record is from RNAcentral.
GAUGAACGCUGGCGGCGUGCCUAAUACAUGCAAGUCGAGCGAACGGACGAGAAGCUUGCUUCUCUGAUGUUAGCGGCGGACGGGUGAGUAACACGUGGAUAACCUACCUAUAAGACUGGGAUAACUUCGGGAAACCGGAGCUAAUACCGGAUAAUAUUUUGAACCGCAUGGUUCAAAAGUGAAAGACGGUCUUGCUGUCACUUAUAGAUGGAUCCGCGCUGCAUUAGCUAGUUGGUAAGGUAACGGCUUACCAAGGCAACGAUGCAUAGCCGACCUGAGAGGUGGAUCGCCCACAUGGAACGUGAGACGCGUCCAGGACUCCAAGGGGAGGCAGAAGGAGGGAUUCUCCCAAAAGGGGCGAAAGCCGAACGGAGCAACGCCGGGGGGGGGAAGAAGUUUUUGGGGACGUAAAACCUUGUUUUUGGGAAAAAAAAUUGGUGAAAGAAACGGGGAAACUUUGGCGGGAACCAAAUCAAAAGGCCACGGCAACCUCCGG